This 804-nucleotide small RNA is filed under the name Pongo abelii (Sumatran orangutan). Its description in RNAcentral is "processed transcript". Lineage: Eukaryota; Metazoa; Chordata; Mammalia; Primates; Hominidae. The record is from RNAcentral.
CUGUCACCUCUGCUGGAAGGAGUGGAACCCAUACUUGCUGGUCUGAGCCAUGCACAAGGCGGGGCAGCUAGGCCUCUGUGCCCGGGCAUGGAAGUUGGUGCGGAUGGCCAGCUCCGGGAUGACCCGCCGGGACCCACUCACAAAUAAGGUGGCCCUGGUAAUGGCCUCUACGGACUGCUUACAGAGUCAAGUCCCUGGGAACUUCAGGAAGCAGCCCACCAUGUUUCAACCACUUACUAUGUGCAAUUUCCUGUGUUCAGAGCCUUACACAAGUUAUCUCUAGACCUGACAACAACCCAAGCAAGGCAAGGACUAUUCUCUCAGUCUGCAGACGCUGGCUCAGAUAGCUGGAGCAACUGCCCAAGGUCCCACAGCCAGUAAGGAAAGACCCAGACCUCCCAAGCUCCCUUCCUUUAUUGGCUGCCUAUGGACUACUGGGGCUUCAGUCCUUACAAUGUCAGUAAAACAGCCUUGCUGGGCCUCACCAAGACCCUGGCCAUAGAGCUGGCUCCAAGGAACGUUCGGUUGAACUGCCUAGCACCUGGACUUAUCAAGACUAGCUUCAGCAGGAUGCUCUGGAUGGACAAGGAAAAAGAGGAAAGCAUGAAAGAAACCCUGCAGAUAAGAAGGUUAGGCGAGCCAGAGGAUUGUGCUGGCAUCGUGUCUUUCCUGUGCUCUGAAGAUGCCAGCUACAUCACUGAGGAAACAGUGGUGGUGGGUGGAGGAACCCCGUCCCGCCUCUAAGGACCUGGAGACAGCCCACAGGCCAGAGUUGGGCUCUAGCUCCUGGUGCUGUUCCUGCAU